Molecule: ribosomal RNA, 253 nt
Filed under: uncultured bacterium
Lineage: Bacteria
Description: partial 16S ribosomal RNA
Rfam family: Bacterial small subunit ribosomal RNA
Source: RNAcentral
UACGUAGGUGGCGAGCGUUGUCCGGAUUUACUGGGCGUAAAGGGAGCGUAGGCGGAUUUUUAAGUGAGAUGUGAAAUACUCGGGCUCAACUUGAGUGCUGCAUUUCAAACUGGAAGUCUAGAGUGCAGGAGAGGAGAAUGGAAUUCCUAGUGUAGCGGUGAAAUGCGUAGAGAUUAGGAAGAACACCAGUGGCGAAGGCGAUUCUCUGGACUGUAACUGACGCUGAAGCUCGAAAGCGUGGGGAGCAAACAGG